This 403-nucleotide ribosomal RNA is filed under the name uncultured bacterium. RNAcentral's name for it is "partial 16S ribosomal RNA". It matches the Rfam family "Bacterial small subunit ribosomal RNA", at positions 30 to 526 of the family's 1533-position model. The record is from RNAcentral.
AUUGAACGCUGGCGGCAGGCCUAACACAUGCAAGUCGAGCGAGCGGCGGACGGGUGAGUAAUGCAUGGGGACUGCCCGCUAGAGGGGGAUAACUACUGGAAACGGUAACUAAUACCGCAUACUACUGCAUAUCCCAUAUGGGAUUAGUUAGUUGGUGGGGUAAAGGCUCACAAAGGCAACGAUCCGUAGCUGGUUUGCGAGGACGACCAGCCACACUGGGACUGGGACACGGCCCAGACUCCUAGGGAGGCAGCAGUGGGGAAUUUUGGACAAGGGGGGAAACCCGGACGCAGCCAUCCCGGGGGUAGGAUGAGGGCCUUCGGGUUGUAAAGUACUUUUUGCAGAGAAGCGGUAUCUGCAGAAUAAGCACCGGCUAACUACGUGCCAGCAGCCGCGGUAAUAC